UUAAUUCCAAUUAACUUUGUUCUUUCUGUUUCUCUUGGCCUCUUUAUCUCUUUUCCUCCACUUUUUCAUCUCCAUAAGAAACCAAAAUCUAGAAGAAGGAUUUCCGUUUUGUGGCGAGUUUAACAUGGUGCUCUAUAUCUCAAUUUUGGGUGUUGCUAUUCGUGAUAAGAGAUAGAAUUUAUCCAGGAGUUGUAAGUUACAGGAAGCUUGCGACAGCGAAGCUAGUGAUGCAAAGUUGGUAUUUACUUUGUUAUCUUUAUAUAUAUAUAUAUAUAUAUGUCAUGGCAUAGUAAUAGGUGGGAUUGGGAAUAUUUUGAAACAGUGUUCAGUUUAUAUAUUAUGAGUAUGUUUAUCUGUUCGGAACAUUCUCUGUCAAAUUUUAUUGCAUCAAGAAGUCGAAUUUUAUAUAUUUCUACUUCUCCGAUUACUACUUGAAGAAAAUUGCUAAAUUUGAACUAAUGAAAGACCUUAUACCAUGGUACUUCGCUUUUGCUGUGUAAGACUUAUGUACAAGGAAAUACAUAUUUUUCUCCAUCAUUUAGUA
This is a long non-coding RNA of Papaver somniferum (opium poppy), 544 nucleotides long. RefSeq lists it as uncharacterized. The record is from RefSeq and is a predicted model, not a curated record. NCBI's taxonomy places the organism in Eukaryota, Viridiplantae, Streptophyta, Magnoliopsida, Ranunculales, Papaveraceae. The transcript is spliced from 2 exons.